RNAcentral lists this long non-coding RNA (594 nucleotides) under Marmota monax (woodchuck). Lineage: Eukaryota; Metazoa; Chordata; Mammalia; Rodentia; Sciuridae. The record is from RNAcentral.
GUCUCCUCCGUGGUGGUCACAUUCCAAGAUAUACUGAUAACCACGAUAUCCAGGAUACUGGUAGCAAACCCAGCUACAAAAUUCAAAAGUAUAUGGCAUUAAAACUAGUUAGGAACCUGACAAACACCCCCAAACCUCACAGACUUCUCAGCAGAAUGGUACAGAAUGCUUUUAGGCUUGGAGAAAACAGUAGUCAUAGAGGAAUUCCAUAGAGGAAUGCCCAGGGGAGAAAAAUCUAAAGGUGGUUGAUACAAAGAACUUGAGAUUCAAAUUAAUAACUAGAACAUGACCCCUGUGCCAAUAUUAUGCCAAUGCAUGAAACCUAAUAAAACAUUACCAUUGAUGUAUUAAUAUUUGCAAGGCUUUCACCUGCAGGAUUUACUUGGAACAUACUCCAACCCUGUUUUUGCACUUACGCCCCACUUUGUAUCUUCAUGGAACCAACUUCGUUGUUGAACCAACCCAUGGCUUGCAAGGAGGGGUAGUCAUCACAGAUUUCCCACUGUCGUCCAAUAAAGUUCUCUUUCUCAAAAAUGGUAAUCUUAGACUCCUUGUGAUUCUGUUGCCCAGAAAUUAAAAACUUUUAGUACCUAG